This 830-nucleotide long non-coding RNA is filed under the name Trifolium pratense (red clover). RNAcentral's name for it is "long non-coding RNA (TPRA_LNC005083)". The record is from RNAcentral. Lineage: Eukaryota; Viridiplantae; Streptophyta; Magnoliopsida; Fabales; Fabaceae.
UUCGAAUCGCCUCGAAGUAGCAGUUUCUCGAGCAAGUAUUUGGAAUUAAACUAAAGAAAAUUACUGGAAAGUAAAUUGCAUUGAAUGAAAAGCAAUUACAAAUAAAGAUGGUUCACAAAACAUACAUUUCUCCUCUGAAUUCCUUUCGUUCGAUCACUGAGUACUUAGAAUUUUAGAGAGAGUGUUUGUAUAAAAUUUUGUGACCCUUGUUCUGAAUGAAAAACUACUAUAAAUACUACAACGAAGUAGUAACUGUUUCUUGAUCAUCUGGACGCUCUUCGAUCUGCCACGUCGACCACGUUCUCCACUUUCAUCUUCCAUUCCUUCAGCGCGCGCCAAUGUCUCUUGGGCCGUUUGUUGUUUCUUUUUUGGGCCUGGCCCAACUAUCUUUCGAUUCGAUUUCGCGCUUUCGACAGCCUCCUGACAAAACCAAAACUGGAUGUGUCCUCCACAGCCUUCGAAACGCUCUUUUGCUUCGACAUAGUUAGACCUCGACACCACCUUUGAAAGUUUUAUUUUGACAAUAUAACCUCCAAAAAUAAAUGUUGGACCACCAAUUAUAUUUAAUUGAUAAAUACCAAAUUUAUGUCCAACACCAUGUUAUCAAGAUUUUAACAGAUAAGGAAAACAGAAUGAAUGGGAAAAGAGAACCAUUAAGUGAGUUUUUUUGUAAAUGUUUUAUUCUAUUUAAUCUCAUUUGUGCUAUGUUUUAAUUAUUGUUUUCUUUUGUGGAUUUUCAUUGUUGUUCCAUGGAGGGAUGGAAGUAAAAUGGAGGGAUGGAAGUUUAGGUAUGUUUUGCGAUUGAGUAUAUCAAAGAAGACAAAAAUUUC